RNAcentral lists this unclassified non-coding RNA (1516 nucleotides) under Pomacea canaliculata. RNAcentral describes it as "uncharacterized LOC112569063, transcript variant X3". Lineage: Eukaryota; Metazoa; Mollusca; Gastropoda; Architaenioglossa; Ampullariidae. The record is from RNAcentral.
AUGGAAAGAUUAUUGGCGCUUUGGUUGGAAGACCAAAGUCAACGCCGUAUCCCUAUCUGCCAAUGACCCAUUGUGACCUCUCCCUAUAUGGGUCACCUCGACUAGCACGCAGCUCCUACCGGAUGGUAGUGCACUUCGCCUCUACAUUGGACCCUCCUGACUGAAUGGUUGUUGCCGGUGACCCACUAACGACACGCAUAUGACAGUUUCUUAUCAGCUGCAUCGAGUCUUCAUAGCCAGAUAUACACUUACCCUCAGUGACUGUGAUCAAACUGCAAUGUGGACUCUGAAGUACACGAGGUCGAUUCGCCUUCAUAUCUUCUCAUCAUUGUGGAGACUGGAUACGCCUUGUGGUUGCCAUUCAUCCUACAACAUUCCUGUUCGUCAAUGAGUUUAUGUACACUGAUCUUCAAAGUCUAAGAAGAUAGUGCUAAAGUGAGGAUUACCUGUGGCAGGCGAGUACUUUUGUGGUACAGAAUUGACCUCCUUGGAAUAGAGACUAUUUGUCCAACACUCAUAAAUGGGGACAAUAGUGUCAUAUGCAAAAUCAAUAGAACAGCUGUAGAGGUUGCACAAUGUGAGUCAGUGCAAGAUUAUGUGACCCUGGAAAAGACAAAACCUUCACGAAGAAACCCACUAGUAAUAGGUUUUACAAAAAGUUUUAUUCCAUCAGACUGUAGAUCUCGUCAAAAUCCCGUCCCAGAUGGAUGCUGGUGCAAUGAAUAUAAUAGAGAAAUCUUUGAAUAUAAGUGUGCCUUUGUGGCCAGUUUGAUUGAAGAUACUAGUGCACAAGUUGAAUGUAAAAUCUGCAAUUCACCAAAGAAUGCUUUUGAAGUAAAAGUGAAUGAUAACUGCAGAAGUAUGCGUUUCGAUAAUGGUGGUAAUGGCAAUGCUGAUUACAGCUCAGAAAUACUUGUUUUUGCAAGCAUCUUGGGCUUUCUAAUCUCAGGUACAAGCAGGAUACCACUUAGUGUCUGGUUAUGAUGAUGUUCCCACACCUUAAUAUAGCACUAUUGACCUUAAUCUAUGCUAAAGGUAGCAUUUAAACUCAAUUGAUUCCGUAUCAUCUGUGUUGAUCAUGUCAAUAUGUCUUCCCAUUUGUUAGUAUAGUCAUACAGUCAUGGUAAAAUCUUAAUGCAUAUUUCAGAUGAUCAUAAUCAUACAGAACCAAAAAAGCGGCCAUAAACUGCUUCACUUUAAGAAAAAAACGAGAAAUAUAGUUUUUUUUAAUACCUUUAUAUUUCAUGCACAUUCCUAAGAACCUUCUGUGUCCCAUAAGCCGAUUUAACACUCAUCAAAAUGUGUGUGGGGGUUAAAGCUAACAUAAAUCAUAAAUAACCUCACUGUUAUAAAUAUUGUUUUUCUGUAUUGCUUCCUUAAUUACUCUAAACAAAUACGUUUUGAAUUCCUUAUACUUUUUCAAUUUUGUUUAUCUCUUUCAACAUCCUUACUGUUACCAUUUUGUACUACUAUUUAAAAUUAUUAAAUCAAAUGGCAUAUAUUUGAUUUUUUUUUU